RNAcentral lists this ribosomal RNA (253 nucleotides) under uncultured bacterium. RNAcentral's name for it is "partial 16S ribosomal RNA". It matches the Rfam family "Bacterial small subunit ribosomal RNA", at positions 524 to 776 of the family's 1533-position model. The record is from RNAcentral.
GACAGAGGGUGCGAACGUUGUUCGGAAUUACUGGGCGUAAAGCGCGUGUAGGCGGCUCGAUAAGCCGGAUGUGAAAGCCCUGGGCUCAACCUAGGAAGUGCAUUCGAAACUGCUGAGCUUGAGUUCUGGAGAGGAAGGCGGAAUUCUCGGUGUAGAGGUGAAAUUCGUAGAUAUCGAGAGGAACACCGGUGGCGAAGGCGGCCUUCUGGACAGCAACUGACGCUGAGACGCGAAAGCGUGGGGAGCAAACAGG